UUAAGCGACUAAGCGUACACGGUGGAUGCCCUGGCAGUCAGAGGCGAUGAAGGACGUGCUAAUCUGCGAAAAGCGUCGGUAAGGUGAUAUGAACCGUUAUAACCGGCGAUGUCCGAAUGGGGAAACCCAGUGCAAUUCGUUGCACUAUCGUUAACUGAAUACAUAGGUUAACGAGGCGAACCGGGGGAACUGAAACAUCUAAGUACCCCGAGGAAAAGAAAUCAACCGAGAUUCCCCCAGUAGCGGCGAGCGAACGGGGAGCAGCCCAGAGUCUGAAUCAGCUUGUGUGUUAGUGGAACGGUCUGGAAAGUCCGACGGUACAGGGUGAUAGUCCCGUACACCAAAAUGCACAGGCUGUGAACUCGAAGAGUAGGGCGGGACACGUGGUAUCCUGUCUGAAUAUGGGGGGACCAUCCUCCAAGGCUAAAUACUCCUGACUGACCGAUAGUGAACCAGUACCGUGAGGGAAAGGCGAAAAGAACCCCGGCGAGGGGAGUGAAAAAGAACCUGAAACCGUGUACGUACAAGCAGUGGGAGCACCUUCGGGUGUGACUGCGUACCUUUUGUAUAAUGGGUCAGCGACUUAUAUUCUGUAGCAAGGUUAACCGUAUAGGGGAGCCGCAGGGAAACCGAGUCUUAACUGGGCGUUAAGUUGCAGGGUAUAGACCCGAAACCCGGUGAUCUAGCCAUGGGCAGGUUGAAGGUUGGGUAACACUAACUGGAGGACCGAACCGACUAAUGUUGAAAAAUUAGCGGAUGACUUGUGGCUGGGGGUGAAAGGCCAAUCAAACCGGGAGAUAGCUGGUUCUCCCCGAAAGCUAUUUAGGUAGCGCCUCGUGAACUCAUCUUCGGGGGUAGAGCACUGUUUCGGCUAGGGGGUCAUCCCGACUUACCAACCCGAUGCAAACUACGAAUACCGAAGAAUGUUAUCACGGGAGACACACGGCGGGUGCUAACGUCCGUCGUGAAGAGGGAAACAACCCAGACCGCCAGCUAAGGUCCCAAAGUCAUGGUUAAGUGGGAAACGAUGUGGGAAGGCACAGACAGCCAGGAUGUUGGCUUAGAAGCAGCCAUCAUUUAAAGAAAGCGUAAUAGCUCACUGGUCGAGUCGGCCUGCGCGGAAGAUGUAACGGGGCUAAACCAUGCACCGAAGCUGCGGCAGCGACACUAUGUGUUGUUGGGUAGGGGAGCGUUCUGUAAGCCUGCGAAGGUGACCUGUGAGGGUUGCUGGAGGUAUCAGAAGUGCGAAUGCUGACAUAAGUAACGAUAAAGCGGGUGAAAAGCCCGCUCGCCGGAAGACCAAGGGUUCCUGUCCAACGUUAAUCGGGGCAGGGUGAGUCGACCCCUAAGGCGAGGCCGAAAGGCGUAGUCGAUGGGAAACAGGUUAAUAUUCCUGUACUUGGUGUUACUGCGAAGGGGGGACGGAGAAGGCUAUGUUAGCCGGGCGACGGUUGUCCCGGUUUAAGCAUGUAGGCUGAUUGUCCAGGCAAAUCCGGAUAAUCAAGGCUGAGGUGUGAUGACGAGGCACUACGGUGCUGAAGUAACAAAUGCCCUGCUUCCAGGAAAAGCCUCUAAGCAUCAGGUAACAUCAAAUCGUACCCCAAACCGACACAGGUGGUCAGGUAGAGAAUACCAAGGCGCUUGAGAGAACUCGGGUGAAGGAACUAGGCAAAAUGGUGCCGUAACUUCGGGAGAAGGCACGCUGGUGUGUAGGUGAAGUCCCUGCGGAUGGAGCUGAGACCAGUCGAAGAUACCAGCUGGCUGCAACUGUUUAUUAAAAACACAGCACUGUGCAAACACGAAAGUGGACGUAUACGGUGUGACGCCUGCCCGGUGCCGGAAGGUUAAUUGAUGGGGUUAUCCGUAAGGAGAAGCUCUUGAUCGAAGCCCCGGUAAACGGCGGCCGUAACUAUAACGGUCCUAAGGUAGCGAAAUUCCUUGUCGGGUAAGUUCCGACCUGCACGAAUGGCGUAAUGAUGGCCAGGCUGUCUCCACCCGAGACUCAGUGAAAUUGAACUCGCUGUGAAGAUGCAGUGUACCCGCGGCAAGACGGAAAGACCCCGUGAACCUUUACUAUAGCUUGACACUGAACAUUGAGCCUUGAUGUGUAGGAUAGGUGGGAGGCUUUGAAGCGUGGACGCCAGUCUGCGUGGAGCCAACCUUGAAAUACCACCCUUUAAUGUUUGAUGUUCUAACGUUGGCCCCUUACCGGGGUUGCGGACAGUGUCUGGUGGGUAGUUUGACUGGGGCGGUCUCCUCCCAAAGCGUAACGGAGGAGCACGAAGGUUAGCUAAUCCUGGUCGGACAUCAGGAGGUUAGUGCAAUGGCAUAAGCUAGCUUGACUGCGAGCGUGACGGCGCGAGCAGGUGCGAAAGCAGGUCAUAGUGAUCCGGUGGUUCUGAAUGGAAGGGCCAUCGCUCAACGGAUAAAAGGUACUCCGGGGAUAACAGGCUGAUACCGCCCAAGAGUUCAUAUCGACGGCGGUGUUUGGCACCUCGAUGUCGGCUCAUCACAUCCUGGGGCUGAAGUAGGUCCCAAGGGUAUGGCUGUUCGCCAUUUAAAGUGGUACGCGAGCUGGGUUUAGAACGUCGUGAGACAGUUCGGUCCCUAUCUGCCGUGGGCGCUGGAGAAUUGAGGGGGGCUGCUCCUAGUACGAGAGGACCGGAGUGGACGCAUCACUGGUGUUCGGGUUGUCAUGCCAAUGGCACUGCCCGGUAGCUAAAUGCGGAAGAGAUAAGUGCUGAAAGCAUCUAAGCACGAAACUUGCCCCGAGAUGAGUUCUCCCUGAGACUUUAAGUCUCCUGAAGGAACGUUAAAGACGAUGACGUUGAUAGGCCGGGUGUGUAAGCGCAGCGAUGCGUUGAGCUAACCGGUACUAAUGAACCGUGAGGCUUAACCUU
Molecule: ribosomal RNA, 2900 nt
Filed under: Klebsiella pneumoniae
Lineage: Bacteria; Pseudomonadati; Pseudomonadota; Gammaproteobacteria; Enterobacterales; Enterobacteriaceae
Also listed under: 1 other name
Description: bacterial LSU rRNA
Rfam family: Bacterial large subunit ribosomal RNA
Source: RNAcentral